UACAGGGGGGGCAAGCGUUGUUCGGAAUUACUGGGCGUAAAGGGCUCGUAGGUGGCCAACUAAGUCAGACGUGAAAUCCCUCAGCUUAACUGGGGAACUGCGUCUGAUACUGGAUGGCUUGAGUUUGGGAGAGGGAUGCGGAAUUCCAGGUGUAGCGGUGAAAUGCGUAGAUAUCGUCAGGAACGCCAAUGGUGAAGACAGGUGACUGGGCUAGAUCUGACACUGAGGCACGAAAGCGUGGGGAGCGAACGGG
Molecule: ribosomal RNA, 253 nt
Filed under: uncultured prokaryote
Description: partial 16S ribosomal RNA
Rfam family: Bacterial small subunit ribosomal RNA
Source: RNAcentral